AAAAUCUUGAUCUCUCCCCAAUUUUCAAUCAAAAGGUCCUGGUGCUGCACUGAAUGCUGUUGGUGGUAUGGGCUUGAUGCAGUCAUCAAGAAUGGUAAAUACGCUCAUCACUGGUGCAUUCUUCUGCAUCAAGAACAUUUCUCAUUCAGUGACAUUUGCUGGUUUCCUCUAAGAAAAGGGUCUAUUCUUUAUUUGGAAAAAGGGCCCCUCAUGGUGAAGAUACUACUGUCAGGGAGUCUGACCACAGGUCAUCAAAAACAGUUCAAAUCCUGAAGAUCUAGCCAAGCAAAAAGUCAUUGAGCAGCUCCCCACAGAUGACUUUGCUCCAGCAGGAAGUACACACAUGCC
Molecule: long non-coding RNA, 348 nt
Filed under: Mustela putorius furo (domestic ferret)
Lineage: Eukaryota; Metazoa; Chordata; Mammalia; Carnivora; Mustelidae
Description: lncRNA (ENSMPUG00000025863.1)
Source: RNAcentral